Molecule: ribosomal RNA, 1372 nt
Filed under: uncultured bacterium
Lineage: Bacteria
Description: bacterial SSU rRNA
Rfam family: Bacterial small subunit ribosomal RNA
Source: RNAcentral
GAUGAACGCUGGCGGCGUGCCUAAUACAUGCAAGUCGAGCGAACGGACGAGAAGCUUGCUUCUCUGAUGUUAGCGGCGGACGGGUGAGUAACACGUGGAUAACCUACCUAUAAGACUGGGAUAACUUCGGGAAACCGGAGCUAAUACCGGAUAAUAUUUUGAACCGCAUGGUUCAAAAGUGAAAGACGGUCUUACUGUCACUUAUAGAUGGAUCCGCGCUGCAUUAGCUAGUUGGUAAGGUAACGGCUUACCAAGGCAACGAUGCAUAGCCGACCUGAGAGGGUGAUCGGCCACACUGGAACUGAGACACGGUCCAGACUCCUACGGGAGGCAGCAGUAGGGAAUCUUCCGCAAUGGGCGAAAGCCUGACGGAGCAACGCCGCGUGAGUGAUGAAGGUCUUCGGAUCGUAAAACUCUGUUAUUAGGGAAGAACAUAUGUGUAAGUAACUGUGCACAUCUUGACGGUACCUAAUCAGAAAGCCACGGCUAACUACGUGCCAGCAGCCGCGGUAAUACGUAGGUGGCAAGCGUUAUCCGGAAUUAUUGGGCGUAAAGCGCGCGUAGGCGGUUUUUUAAGUCUGAUGUGAAAGCCCACGGCUCAACCGUGGAGGGUCAUUGGAAACUGGAAAACUUGAGUGCAGAAGAGGAAAGUGGAAUUCCAUGUGUAGCGGUGAAAUGCGCAGAGAUAUGGAGGAACACCAGUGGCGAAGGCGACUUUCUGGUCUGUAACUGACGCUGAUGUGCGAAAGCGUGGGGAUCAAACAGGAUUAGAUACCCUGGUAGUCCACGCCGUAAACGAUGAGUGCUAAGUGUUAGGGGGUUUCCGCCCCUUAGUGCUGCAGCUAACGCAUUAAGCACUCCGCCUGGGGAGUACGACCGCAAGGUUGAAACUCAAAGGAAUUGACGGGGACCCGCACAAGCGGUGGAGCAUGUGGUUUAAUUCGAAGCAACGCGAAGAACCUUACCAAAUCUUGACAUCCUUUGACAACUCUAGAGAUAGAGCCUUCCCCUUCGGGGGACAAAGUGACAGGUGGUGCAUGGUUGUCGUCAGCUCGUGUCGUGAGAUGUUGGGUUAAGUCCCGCAACGAGCGCAACCCUUAAGCUUAGUUGCCAUCAUUAAGUUGGGCACUCUAAGUUGACUGCCGGUGACAAACCGGAGGAAGGUGGGGAUGACGUCAAAUCAUCAUGCCCCUUAUGAUUUGGGCUACACACGUGCUACAAUGGACAAUACAAAGGGCAGCGAAACCGCGAGGUCAAGCAAAUCCCAUAAAGUUGUUCUCAGUUCGGAUUGUAGUCUGCAACUCGACUACAUGAAGCUGGAAUCGCUAGUAAUCGUAGAUCAGCAUGCUACGGUGAAUACGUUCCCGGGUCU